GGUAGGGUGGCCGAGUGCCUAGGCGGUGGGUUGUAGCCCCACGAACAGAGGUUAGAACCCUCUUCCUACCA
RNAcentral lists this transfer RNA (71 nucleotides) under Phenacogrammus interruptus (Congo tetra). RNAcentral's name for it is "tRNA-Tyr". It matches the Rfam family "tRNA". From Rfam's summary of the family: Transfer RNA (tRNA) molecules are approximately 80 nucleotides in length. Their secondary structure includes four short double-helical elements and three loops (D, anti-codon, and T loops). Lineage: Eukaryota; Metazoa; Chordata; Actinopteri; Characiformes; Alestidae. The record is from RNAcentral.